This 413-nucleotide ribosomal RNA is filed under the name Bridelia scleroneura. Its description in RNAcentral is "eukaryotic LSU rRNA". The stretch from base 2 to 149 matches the Rfam family "5.8S ribosomal RNA". Lineage: Eukaryota; Viridiplantae; Streptophyta; Magnoliopsida; Malpighiales; Phyllanthaceae. The record is from RNAcentral.
GGCAACGGAUAUCUCGGCUCUCGCAUCGAUGAAGAACGUAGCGAAAUGCGAUACUUGGUGUGAAUUGCAGAAUCCCGUGAACCAUCGAGUCUUUGAACGCAAGUUGCGCCCGAAGCCUUCGGGCCGAGGGCACGCCUGCCUGGGUGUCACGCAACGUCGCCCCUCUCGAGCACCGCGCUGCGGAUCGGCGAGAGGCGGAGAAUGGUCUCCCGCGGCCUCCGCCGCGGUUGGCCCAAACACGAGCCCCCGGCGACGGGCGCCGCGGCAUUCGGUGGUUGAGAGACCCUGCUCCCCGCCGCGCGCGCCCCGUCGCAGUCGGGGGAUCUCCGUGACCCCCGGUGCGCAACCGAACCGACGCGACCCCAGGUCAGGGGGGAUUACCCGCUGAAUUUAAGCAUAUCAAUAAGCGGAGG